RNAcentral lists this ribosomal RNA (1115 nucleotides) under uncultured bacterium. Its description in RNAcentral is "bacterial SSU rRNA". It matches the Rfam family "Bacterial small subunit ribosomal RNA", at positions 288 to 1401 of the family's 1533-position model. The record is from RNAcentral.
GGUUCUGAGAGGAAGGUCCCCCACAUUGGAACUGAGACACGGUCCAAACUCCUACGGGAGGCAGCAGUGAGGAAUAUUGGUCAAUGGCCGGAAGGCUGAACCAGCCAAGUCGCGUGAGGGAAUAAGGCCCUACGGGUCGUAAACCUCUUUUGCCAGGGAGCAAUGCCGUCCACGUGUGGACGGAAGGAGAGUACCUGGAGAAAAAGCAUCGGCUAACUCCGUGCCAGCAGCCGCGGUAAUACGGAGGAUGCGAGCGUUAUCCGGAUUUAUUGGGUUUAAAGGGUGCGUAGGCGGCCUGCCAAGUCAGCGGUAAAAUUGCGGGGCUCAACCCCGUACAGCCGUUGAAACUGCCGGGCUCGAGUGGGCGAGAAGUAUGCGGAAUGCGUGGUGUAGCGGUGAAAUGCAUAGAUAUCACGCAGAACCCCGAUUGCGAAGGCAGCAUACCGGCGCCCGACUGACGCUGAGGCACGAAAGUGCGGGGAUCAAACAGGAUUAGAUACCCUGGUAGUCCGCACAGUAAACGAUGAAUGCUAGCCGUCCGGGGGGAUUGACCCCUGGGUGGCACAGCGAAAGCGUUAAGCAUUCCACCUGGGGAGUACGCCGGCAACGGUGAAACUCAAAGGAAUUGACGGGGGCCCGCACAAGCGGAGGAACAUGUGGUUUAAUUCGAUGAUACGCGAAGAACCUUACCAGGUCUUGACAUCUUGCGCUAACCUUAGAGAUAAGGCGUUCCCUUCGGGGACGCAAUGACAGGUGGUGCAUGGUCGUCGUCAGCUCGUGUCGUGAGAUGUUGGGUUAAGUCCCGCAACGAGCGCAACCCUUGUUACUAGUUGCCAGCAUUAAGUUGGGCACUCUAGUGAGACUGCCGGUGACAAACCGGAGGAAGGUGGGGACGACGUCAGAUCAUCAUGCCCCUUAUGACCUGGGCUACACACGUGCUACAAUGGACGGUACAACGAGUCGCAAGCUCGCGAGAGUAAGCUAAUCUCUUAAAGCCGUUCUCAGUUCGGACUGUAGGCUGCAACUCGCCUACACGAAGUCGGAAUCGCUAGUAAUCGCGGAUCAGCAUGCCGCGGUGAAUACGUUCCCGGGCCUUGUACUCACCGCCCGUCAAG